CCACUUGCACGGAUCGAUUGCGGUUCCUAUAUUCCGCUUGUCCGGCGCAAGUCGGACUAUGGGCAUAAACGCGCUCGUAAUAAGCGGAUCGGACCCGGGGGCGGUACCCGGCGGCUCCACCAGAUACCCUCGUUGGGGACCAUGGGGCCGAAACAGGAUCGACGAACGUGUAAAGGAGUGGCUUUGCCCCGGUGAGGUACCACCGUUAUCGGUCCAAGACGCACAAUUGCCAACGACAAUCGUGCUCCGGUCGCUCUGGCUGCGUAAGCAGCUCGACAGACCGAAACAUAAGUCCCUGCGCCUAGCCGCGUAGGGCGGGGUUCGCAGGCACCUGGCAACAGAAGCCUGCACC
This 352-nucleotide transfer-messenger RNA is filed under the name Albidovulum inexpectatum. Its description in RNAcentral is "Alphaproteobacteria transfer-messenger RNA". It matches the Rfam family "Alphaproteobacteria transfer-messenger RNA". From Rfam's summary of the family: Bacterial tmRNA, also known as 10Sa RNA or SsrA, is named for its dual tRNA and mRNA-like properties. Its role is to liberate the mRNA from a stalled ribosome. Lineage: Bacteria; Pseudomonadati; Pseudomonadota; Alphaproteobacteria; Rhodobacterales; Paracoccaceae. The record is from Rfam by way of RNAcentral.